RNAcentral lists this transfer RNA (64 nucleotides) under uncultured Intestinibaculum sp. It matches the Rfam family "tRNA", at positions 6 to 65 of the family's 71-position model. From Rfam's summary of the family: Transfer RNA (tRNA) molecules are approximately 80 nucleotides in length. Their secondary structure includes four short double-helical elements and three loops (D, anti-codon, and T loops). Lineage: Bacteria; Bacillati; Bacillota; Erysipelotrichia; Erysipelotrichales; Erysipelotrichaceae. The record is from RNAcentral.
CGUAGCUCAGUUGGAUAGAGCGUUCGCCUCCUAAGCGAAAGGUCGAGGGUUCGACUCCCUUCGA